Molecule: long non-coding RNA, 1232 nt
Filed under: Oryctolagus cuniculus (rabbit)
Lineage: Eukaryota; Metazoa; Chordata; Mammalia; Lagomorpha; Leporidae
Description: lncRNA (ENSOCUG00000039499.1)
Source: RNAcentral
UCUCUCUGUCUCUCCCUCUCUUCAGUAACUCUGCCUCUCAAAUAAGUAAAUAAAUAAAAUAAAAUAAAAUAAAAUAAAAUAAAAUAAACCACCUUUCUCAGCAGGCUGGAUGUGGCACAGGGUCAGAGCUUGCCAACCUCCCGUUCUGGGCUCAGAAGGGGCCUAGGAAAGGAAGGCUUCGGUCUAAGAAGCGACAGCACUUCUACAAACUCCUGGACAAUGGAACUACAAGAUGCUUGUUUGCAGUGGUCCUAGCUUUAUGGAGGAAACUUCGAUCUGAAUUUUCACUUUGCACUGGACUAGGCUUUGGACAAAGGUGCUGGGACUUACUUGUUACAACUGAAGCUAUGGGACACUUGAAUUUGGUGAGGUCCCCUGAUAGGUAGAUGUAUCCAGUGCAGCCAGCAUCUUCAGCACUCAUAUGCAUAUCUAGAUUUCUGGCUGUCCUUGUGUUGGGCUUUUAAGGUUUUUCUUCACUUUCUUGCUAGCUCAAUGGUGCACUUAAGGAGCCUUUAAAAAACUUUUAUUUUAUUUAAGAGGUGGAGGAAAGAGAGUGAGCACGAGAGAGUGAGAUGCCACCAGCUGGUUCACUCCCCAAUGCCCACAACUCCCAGGGCUGGACCAGGCUGAAGCUGGGAGCCCAGAACUGAAUCCAAGUCUCCCUCAUGGGUGGCAGGGAUCCAGCUACUUGAGUCGCCACUGCAGCCUCCAGGGUGUGCAUUAGCAGCAGGCUGGAACUGGAAGUGGAUCUAGGACUUGGACCCAGGCACUCCAAUAUGGGAUGAGUCGAGAAGUUAGACUGGACACUCCAUCAGUAAAGAAAGAAAAGGACAAAGUCUGAGUGAAAGUGAAUUUGCUCCAAAAAACCUGUGACAUCAUUGUCAGGGAACUAAAAGGCGCAUAAAAGACGCGGUGAGUGAGAGAGGAACCACUUGCUCUGUGGGAAGAAGGCGUGGCCAUGGCCGGCGCCUACGAUGCGAACGUUCGCAUUCCCAGCGACGCGGACUGAACAUCUUCCUGGGAUUCCAGACACUUUCGUGGACUGGAUGGCCACGAAGAAUGGACUCUGAGGACAGCGACAUGGAUUUAAGUCAAAUCGAGCAACCUCGGCUGACCAUUACCGAGAAGUUCACAGGGAAUUUCUGAAGGAAUGCAGAAAGUUAACGAAAUCCAACCUAAACAAUUUUACACAAUUUGAACCAUCUCCACGCUUUUAUCAGAACCGUAGGUAU